ACGCUGGCGGCGUGCCUAACACAUGCAAGUCGAGCGGAGACAUUGGCUUCGGUUAAUGUUUUAGCGGCGGACGGGUGAGUAACGCGUGAGCAACCUUUCUCUCAGUGGGGAAUAACACAGGGAAACUUGUACUAAUACCGCAUGAGACCACAUUGUCGCAUGGCAAAGAGGUCAAAGAUUUAUCGCUGAGAGGUGGGCCUGCGUCUGAUUAGCUAGUUGGUGGGGUAACGGCUCACCAAGGCGACGAUCAGUAGCCGGUCUGAGAGGAUGAACGGCCACAUUGGGACUGAGACACGGCCCAGACUCCUACGGGAGGCAGCAGUGGGGAAUCUUCCGCAAUGGACGAAAGUCUGACGGAGCAAUGCCGCGUGAGUGAUGAAGGUUUUCGGACCGUAAAGCUCUUUUGUUUAUGACGAAUGUGCAUUAUGUGAAUAAUGUAGUGUAAUGACGGUAGUAAACGAAUAAGCCACGGCUAACUACGUG
This 483-nucleotide ribosomal RNA is filed under the name uncultured bacterium. Its description in RNAcentral is "bacterial SSU rRNA". It matches the Rfam family "Bacterial small subunit ribosomal RNA", at positions 33 to 507 of the family's 1533-position model. The record is from RNAcentral.